This is a long non-coding RNA of Pipra filicauda (Wire-tailed manakin), 733 nucleotides long. RefSeq lists it as uncharacterized. The record is from RefSeq and is a predicted model, not a curated record. The transcript is spliced from 4 exons. Lineage: Eukaryota; Metazoa; Chordata; Aves; Passeriformes; Pipridae.
AGGACCACAAGAAACACAGCAUCAGCCAGCCACAGCAGACAUUAUUGUUACCUUGGAGAAAAUCAGCUCAAAGAUUGGUUCCUCCUGUGCAGACUUCCCAAGAACAUCCACUAUGCAGCUUAUUUCUGCCUUUAUGCCCUCGCACAACAAAGUUUGUUUCAAUGAUUGAGCUGGUUGGAAGACUGGAAGCAAAAACAGUGGUGAUGACAGAGUGAAGGAAACCUACAGACCCCAGAAAUUUGCCCAGGAAAAAAAGAAAAGAAAAAUAUUAAAUUAGCGAUGUACCUAUUUCUCCUGGAUGUUAGGCAACUCACUCGAGACAGGAGCUUCAACUGAGGAUUGCAGGGAAAUACCAUCACCUGUACCCAGGUCUUGGGCACACCGUGGCGUGUGCCUGCAUUGCUGCCCCAGUUCUGACAGAUGAAGAAAAGAAAAUGAAGAAUUAAAAAAAGAUGGGGAAACACCUCUGCUUGCUCAAGAUCUGUUCACAGGCUGUGUCUCUCCUCCUUCCCUGAUGGGAUGCCUUUAGGUGAGCUCUGUGCCUCCAAAUGUGUUGGAGCAGACCUGUGAAUACUUUUAUUUAUAUAAUCUGCAUCUUCAUCAUGUUACUUCUGUCACAAUACAUAGUAAUGCUCUGAAAGUUAGUGCAUUUAUCACCAGCAAUCCUGGAUCUCCUUUCCUGUUGCUUCAAUAAACCAUAGUAUUUGUGGAUCUGGAUUGUGAAAGUUCCUAU